This 24-nucleotide non-coding RNA is filed under the name Mus musculus (house mouse). Lineage: Eukaryota; Metazoa; Chordata; Mammalia; Rodentia; Muridae. RNAcentral also lists the same sequence under 1 other name. The record is from RNAcentral.
UGAUUCAUGUGAUCCCCUCCAAGC